This 249-nucleotide long non-coding RNA is filed under the name Carica papaya (papaya). RNAcentral describes it as "long non-coding RNA (CPAP_LNC015645)". The record is from RNAcentral. Lineage: Eukaryota; Viridiplantae; Streptophyta; Magnoliopsida; Brassicales; Caricaceae.
UGAGAUAUCGUGAUGUCUUUACUGGGCUAGUGUAGCUCAUUCCUUAUUUAAUCAUUUCAGAUCAAGAGGACAUCGUUCCCGAGCCGGUUCUGCAGGAGGACGACGAAGGGGACGCCUAAAGACUCCAUAGUCAUAUUCGUAGCUUUUACUUUCAAGUUUCUCCUUUAGGUAGUUUGAUCUUUUAUAUUUUGUGAGCACGUUUUUGGUUUUAGUGUAAGGGAUGUUAUUCAAAUUUUGACUUCGCUUCCG